CCUACGGGAGGCAGCAGUGGGGGAUAUUGCACAAUGGGGGGAACCCUGAUGCAGCGACGCCGCGUGGGUGAAGGAGCGUUUCGGCGCGUAAAGCCCUAUCGGCCGGGAAGAAGGAGGACGGUCCCUGACUAAGAAGCCCCGGCUAACUACGUGACAGCAGCCGCGGUAAUACGGAAGGUCCGGGCGUUAUCCGGAAGUAGUGGGUUUAAAGGGAGCGUAGGCCGGCUGUUAAGUCAGCUGGGAAAGUCCGCGGCUCAACCGUGGAAUUGCAGUUGAAACUGGAGGCCUUGAGUGCACACAGGGAUGCCGGAAUUCAUGGUGGAGCGGUGAAAUGCUUAGAUAUCAUGAAGAACUCCGAUCGCGAAGGCAAGUGUCCGGGGUGCAACUGACGCUGAGGCACGAAAGUGCGGGUAUCGAACAGGAUUAGAUACCCCAGUAGUC
This 441-nucleotide ribosomal RNA is filed under the name uncultured bacterium. RNAcentral describes it as "partial 16S ribosomal RNA". It matches the Rfam family "Bacterial small subunit ribosomal RNA", at positions 338 to 795 of the family's 1533-position model. The record is from RNAcentral.